CCAGUCAUUUGCUUUACAGGAAAGAGGCAUCAGUCCUAUAGUUAGUAACACUGGUUAGCAAUAACAGGAGAAUAUUGAAAAGGCCUUUACGUUGAUUACAAAUUAAUUUGUCCUUCACCAUUUUUUCUUCCAGCCAGAGACGUCUGCCAUGGUGCAGAAUACUUGGGGACUGCUGGAGAUCCUAGUACAAUCGUGUCUGUGCCAGGCAUAUCUGAAUGGUGUUGGUCACUCCAAUGAUGCGGAACUUGGAUCUGCAGCCUCAGCUGUAAAAAUCUUACAACUCUGAAAGCCUCUCCUGAGGACCAAAGUGAAGGUUGUCGGAAAUUACUCCAUCUUGGACCUUUUAGCAUUUUCCUUUCAGAAGCACAAGCAGCUUUUGUCCCAAAAGACUGCAUUCUCGACAGCAAGGAGAGAAACACCACCUCAUAAAAGAUGGCUGAGCACAUCACUGCGGUGAUCCAAACCAGCCAUGCAACAGCCAGGACAGGUGCAUGCACUGAACAGAAAGGAUUUAGGAACCAGUGGACUACUUUCCGUCGCUGCCUUCUCAGGUCUCAAAGGGUGCAGUGCAGAGAGGAGCAUAUGGUAAUCCCUACUGUAGAAGGGAAAACAAUGGCCCGGAGCAUCGUAUCACUGAGUAGCCAAGUUGGGAAUCCCACCUGAAUCAAUCCUGUCUCCAGACAAAGCUGUCACUUCCCUAUGCGUACAACAAAUGCCCAUACCAAAGCAAUUACUGUAUGGGAGAUGCCGACUGGCUGGAAGAACCUGUUCAUUCUGGGUCUGUGAUGGGUCUGUGAGGAGCUCAGCUUCCUGGUGUGGAAGAAGGCAGCAGUCUGUUCUUCAGCUUGCUCCUGUCCUGGAGAAGACGUAAGGUGGCUUGUGUUGUGAACAGUUCUGCCUGGGGUCAAUUCCAAUCUGAGAAGAUGGCCUGAAGGACAAGGUCAUCACCCACUUGUGAUGGGGACCAGUGUGGCUGCUUAAAUUGCCCAUCCUGGUGUUCAGCAAGCAGGGAGAAGAACUUCUUUGUCAACAACUGAGAAGAUCCUGAAGAAUCCCG
Long non-coding RNA from Gymnogyps californianus (California condor), 1057 nucleotides. RefSeq lists it as uncharacterized. The record is from RefSeq and is a predicted model, not a curated record. The transcript has 7 exons. Lineage: Eukaryota; Metazoa; Chordata; Aves; Accipitriformes; Cathartidae.